Molecule: ribosomal RNA, 253 nt
Filed under: uncultured bacterium
Lineage: Bacteria
Description: partial 16S ribosomal RNA
Rfam family: Bacterial small subunit ribosomal RNA
Source: RNAcentral
UACAGAGGGUGCAAACGUUGUUCGGAAUUACUGGGCGUAAAGCGCGUGUAGGCGGCUCGAUAAGUCGGAUGUGAAAGCCCUGGGCUCAACCUAGGAAGUGCAUUCGAAACUGCUGAGCUUGAGUUCUGGAGAGGAAGGCGGAAUUCUCGGUGUAGAGGUGAAAUUCGUAGAUAUCGAGAGGCACCCCGGUGGCGAAGGCGGCCAACUGGCCGAAUACUGACGCUGAGACACGAAAGCGUGGGGAGCAAACAGG